RNAcentral lists this small nucleolar RNA (119 nucleotides) under Echinops telfairi (small Madagascar hedgehog). Its description in RNAcentral is "Small nucleolar RNA SNORA61 (ENSETEG00000023411.1)". It matches the Rfam family "Small nucleolar RNA SNORA61". From Rfam's summary of the family: ACA61 is a member of the H/ACA class of snoRNA that guide the sites of modification of uridines to pseudouridines. The record is from RNAcentral. Lineage: Eukaryota; Metazoa; Chordata; Mammalia; Afrosoricida; Tenrecidae.
ACCCUGCAGUUCCCUUUCCCAUCAGAUCAAAACACUGAUCUGGGUGGUCAUAAAGAAGGAAAAGAAACAGUGAAACGGCCCCUCAGUGCUGUCAUAGCUCAGGCUAGUUACAAAAAGGA